UGGGCAGCCAUUUCGUACUUCCAAUCAAAUGAGACCAAUUUUAAUCAGGGUGGAAGUUCAUUUGGAAGCACACAGCCAGUGGCAUAGUAUCGCUAGUGAUCGGAGUACUAAUGGAUUUCCUUGCCAAAUGCCAUGGGUUAUUUUGGCAUGCUAAAAGUGGAAAUAAUUUUCAUAAAAUCUGGUGUAAUUGUGAAUAGGGAGUGUAAAUUUGAGGGAUUCUUCAAAGUUCAUGUUAAAUUAUGUGCUUGUACCUAAUAGGCUAUGGAUUUAGAUCAGCACUGUUGUGCAGCUAGUGUCUGUCAGUUGUGUAGUACUGUAUCCACG
Molecule: unclassified non-coding RNA, 324 nt
Filed under: Hevea brasiliensis (rubber tree)
Lineage: Eukaryota; Viridiplantae; Streptophyta; Magnoliopsida; Malpighiales; Euphorbiaceae
Source: RNAcentral